CUACGGGACGCUCCAGUGGGGAAUAUUGCACAAUGGGGGAAACCCUGAUGCAGCAACGCCGCGUGAGUGAUGACGGCCUUCGGGUUGUAAAGCUCUGUCUUCAGGGACGAUAAUGACGGUACCUGAGGAGGAAGCCACGGCUAACUACGUGCCAGCAGCCGCGGUAAUACGUAGGUGGCAAGCGUUGUCCGGAUUUACUGGGCGUAAAGGGAGCGUAGGCGGACUUUUAAGUGGGAUGUGAAAUACCCGGGCUCAACCUGGGUGCUGCAUUCCAAACUGGAAGUCUAGAGUGCAGGAGGGGAAAGUGGAAUUCCUAGUGUAGCGGUGAAAUGCGUAGAGAUUAGGAAGAACACCGGUGGCGAAGGCGACUUUCUGGACUGUAACUGACGCUGAGGCUCGAAAGCGUGGGGAGCAAACAGGAUUAGAUACCCUCGUAGUC
RNAcentral lists this ribosomal RNA (439 nucleotides) under uncultured bacterium. RNAcentral describes it as "partial 16S ribosomal RNA". It matches the Rfam family "Bacterial small subunit ribosomal RNA", at positions 339 to 795 of the family's 1533-position model. The record is from RNAcentral.